RNAcentral lists this ribosomal RNA (460 nucleotides) under uncultured bacterium. Its description in RNAcentral is "partial 16S ribosomal RNA". It matches the Rfam family "Bacterial small subunit ribosomal RNA", at positions 338 to 795 of the family's 1533-position model. The record is from RNAcentral.
CCUACGGGAGGCAGCAGUGAGGAAUAUUGGUCAAUGGACGAGAGUCUGAACCAGCCAAGUAGCGUGAAGGAUGACUGCCCUAUGGGUUGUAAACUUCUUUUAUAUGGGAAUAAAACGUUCCACGUGUGGGAUUUUGUAUGUACCAUAUGAAUAAGGAUCGGCUAACUCCGUGCCAGCAGCCGCGGUAAUACGGAGGAUCCGACCGUUAUCCGGAUUUAUUGGGUUUAAAGGGAGCGUAGGUGGAUUGUUAAGUCAGUUGUGAAAGUUUGCGGCUCAACCGUAAAAUUGCAGUUGAAACUGGCAGUCUUGAGUACAGUAGAGGUGGGCGGAAUUCGUGGUGUAGCGGUGAAAUGCUUAGAUAUCACGAAGAACUCCGAUUGCGAAGGCAGUUCACUGGACUGCAACUGACACUGAGGCUCGAAAGUGUGGGUAUCAAACAGGAUUAGAUACCCGAGUAGUC